AUUGAACGCUGGCGGCAGGCCUAACACAUGCAAGUCGAACGAGUGGCGGACGGGUGAGUAAUGUCUGGGAAACUGCCUGAUGGAGGGGGAUAACUACUGUAACCGGUAACUAAUACCGCAUAGCAUCAGAUGUGCCCAGAUGGGAUUAGCUGGUUGGUGGGGUAACGGCUCACCAAGGCUACGAUCCCUAGCUGGUCUGAGAGGAUGACAGGCCACACUGGAACGGAGACACGGUCCAGACUCCUACGGGAGGCAGCAGUGGGGAAGAUGGCACAAGGGGCGCAAGCCUGAUGCAGCCAUGGCGCGGGUAUGAAGAAGGCCUUCGGGUUGUAAAGUACGUUCAGCGGGUAGGCGUUACCCGCAGAAGAAGCACCGGCUAACUACGUGCCAGCAGCCGCGGUAAUAC
RNAcentral lists this ribosomal RNA (406 nucleotides) under uncultured bacterium. Its description in RNAcentral is "partial 16S ribosomal RNA". It matches the Rfam family "Bacterial small subunit ribosomal RNA", at positions 29 to 526 of the family's 1533-position model. The record is from RNAcentral.